RNAcentral lists this microRNA precursor (197 nucleotides) under Oryza rufipogon (brownbeard rice). RNAcentral's name for it is "MIR812 microRNA precursor family". It matches the Rfam family "MIR812 microRNA precursor family". The record is from Rfam by way of RNAcentral. Lineage: Eukaryota; Viridiplantae; Streptophyta; Magnoliopsida; Poales; Poaceae.
AAUAAGUGCAGUUUUGCACUAUUCACGUUCAACGUUUGACCAUCCGUCUUAUUUGAAAAUUUUUUAUGAUUAGUAUUUUUAUUGCUAUUAGAUGAUAAAAUAUGAAUAGUACUUUAUGUUUUUAAUUUUUUCAUAAAUUUUUCAAAUAAGACGGACGGUCAAACGUUGAACGUGAAUAGUGCAAAACUGCACUUAUU